GCGGCAUUUGGAAAGAAGUGUACGUAAAAUUUCUCUUACUUAAUUUAGCCUGCCUUGCCAUCUAGAAUCUGUAGAGUUGCGAAAUCUUUAAUUGAAAUGUCUACAAAACUUUGUGAAUCACGUACUCAUACUCGUUGACGUUGUUCUUCUCGUAUUCGAUAGACGUCUCGUCAUCGUCCCGUUACUACUGUACUACUGUUAUACCAUUUUUUCACCGUUUCAUUUAUCAUCCUUUCUACGUUUGAACGAUUAAAUUUACAUAACAUCUUAUGCUGAUUCCAUUGCAAACAACACCGUGUCAUCAGCAAGCUGAGCAAUACGCACCUCUUCAAUUCCGGUAUUAUUCCGGCUUGGUACUGGUAUUCCCUUGUAAUGGAUGUCGUUUCUUAUAUUACAAGCCAUUACUUCAGUAGUGAUCAGGAUAAAUAAUAGUGCAGACAGCGGACAACCUUGUCUUAUUCCACUUUUCAUCUUAAAGCUCUUCGAUAUCCAUCCAUUAUUAACAAUAAUGCACUCGGUGUUAUUAUACAGUGUUUUCACCCAUUUACAAAAUGACUCCAAAAUUCAAUUUUCUUAAUAAACUUAACAUAAAUUCUCUACUCACUGAGUCAAACGCUUUUCUGAAGUCAAGGGACAAAAUGGCACCGUCUAUUCCUUCUCUUCAGUAUAAUAAAGAAUAUCAUUGAUUGGACGAAUAUUUUCACCAGAGAAUGACCUUUAAUAUAACCUUUUUGGUCAUCGUUUACAAGGAGUGAAAUUACUUUCUGGAGUCUUGAACAUAGGAUGUGCGUUAAAAUUUUGUAGUCUGUAUUGAGUAGGGUGAUAGGCCUCAAAUUUUCUAGCAAUUGUUUGUCACCUUUUUUAUAUAUUAGAUUAAUUACACCACGUUGUUGCGUGUUGCUCAUUUCGUUUUUAAAAUAACUAUAAGUUAUUGCGCUACAAACACAUUGUUUAAUGUCUUCCCAAAAAUAUUUAUAGAACUCUGCUGUUAAACCAUCACACCCUGGGGCUUUAUUUAAUUUCAUUUUUCGUAUUGCUGUAUCGCACUCUUGUAAAGUAAUAGUACCCGCACAGAACAUUUUUUCUUCUUCUAUUAGACAAGGUAUAUCUGUUUUGUUUAGAUAGGUAUUUAUAUCGCUAAGGGGAAUCCCCUUAUUUUCAUAAAGCUGUUCAUAAAAGCUAACCUCUUCUUGAAGGAUGUCUUUUGAGUUUGUUAUUACUCCACCAUUUAAUUUUUGUAAACUUUUAAUAAAUUUUUUAUUUCCAUUA
Anneissia japonica is the source of this 1269-nucleotide long non-coding RNA. RefSeq lists it as uncharacterized. Lineage: Eukaryota; Metazoa; Echinodermata; Crinoidea; Comatulida; Comatulidae. The transcript is spliced from 3 exons. The record is from RefSeq and is a predicted model, not a curated record.